GAUGAACGCUAGCGGCAGGCUUAAUACAUGCAAGUCGAGGGGCAGCAUGAAUGUAGCAAUACAUUUGAUGGCGACCGGCAAACGGGUGCGGAACACGUACACAACCUUCCUAUAAGUGGGGAAUAGCCCAGAGAAAUUUGGAUUAAUACCCCGUAACAUAAUGAUGUGGCAUCACAUUAUUAUUAUAGCUACGGCGCUUAUUGAUGGGUGUGCGGCUGAUUAGAUAGUUGGCGGGGUAACGGCCCACCAAGUCUACGAUCAGUAGCUGAUGUGAGAGCAUGAUCAGCCACACGGGCACUGAGACACGGGGCCCACUCCUACGGGAGGCAGCAGUAAGGAAUAUUGGUCAAUGGGUGAGAGCCUGAUCCAGCCAUGCCGCGUGCAGGAAGAAGGCCUUCUGGGUUGUAAACUGCUUUUAUCUGGGAUAAAAAGGACCUUGCGAGGCAAACUAGAAGGU
This 457-nucleotide ribosomal RNA is filed under the name uncultured bacterium. Its description in RNAcentral is "bacterial SSU rRNA". It matches the Rfam family "Bacterial small subunit ribosomal RNA", at positions 28 to 466 of the family's 1533-position model. The record is from RNAcentral.